This 299-nucleotide ribosomal RNA is filed under the name uncultured bacterium. RNAcentral describes it as "partial 16S ribosomal RNA". It matches the Rfam family "Bacterial small subunit ribosomal RNA", at positions 28 to 329 of the family's 1533-position model. The record is from RNAcentral.
GACGAACGCUGGCGGCGUGCUUAACACAUGCAAGUCGAGCGGUAAGGCCCUUUCGGGGGUACACGAGCGGCGAACGGGUGAGUAACACGUGGGUGACCUGCCCUCAGCUCUGGGAUAAGCCUGGGAAACCGGGUCUAAUACCGGAUAUGACUCCAUGACGCAUGUUGUGGGGUGAAAGCCUUGUGCGGCUGAGGAUGGGCCCGCGGCCUAUCAGCUUGUUGGUGGGGNGAUGGCCUACCAAGGCGACGACGGGUAGCCGGCCUGAGAGGGCGACCGGCCACACUGGGACUGAGACACGG